RNAcentral lists this unclassified non-coding RNA (231 nucleotides) under plant metagenome. RNAcentral's name for it is "partial contains small subunit ribosomal RNA, internal transcribed spacer 1, and 5.8S ribosomal RNA". The record is from RNAcentral.
UAUCCGUAGGUGAACCUGCGGAAGGAUCAUUAAAGAGAUCAUGCCCUCACGGGUAGACCUCCAACCCUUUGUUUACAAUACCUUUGUUGCUUUGGCGGGUCCGUUUGGCCCCGCGCUGAACAACCGGCCCCGGCUGGUCAGAGCCCGCCAGAGAACCGAAAACUCUGAAUUAAAUGUCGUCUGAGUACUAUGUAAUAGUUAAAACUUUCAACAACGGAUCUCUUGGUUCUG